This is a non-coding RNA of Drosophila melanogaster (fruit fly), 401 nucleotides long. Lineage: Eukaryota; Metazoa; Arthropoda; Insecta; Diptera; Drosophilidae. The record is from Ensembl.
GGCUAAGUUUAAAAUGACACUAUGAAAUUCGUAUGGAAAUCACUAAGGCUUUCAUCUAGCUGUUACCCACUUAGCACGGAUCUGAUAUACCCCAAUGUCACCCAGUAAAGAGACUGGAACAUCAACGAACUUUGGCCUAGCGCAAAGCUGUUUUUGCCGGUCGCACCGGAGAACUUUCUUUUGACAUUGGUUCCUUGGAGGAGGAGAGAGGGGAAGGCGGGCGGAGAGAGCAACAGCUGUGCACCGAGCCCCAAAAUGGCACAGGUCUCGAAAGCCUGAAAACUCCACCAAAUUUUAUAGACUUACUUGACUUUUCGUACCAUAAAGAUAAUUUAGAAGAGCUGUAAUUUAUAAAAGGCGGCCAUAAGAUAAUUUGAAACUUAAAAUUUUGAUUAUGACUG